AUUGAACGCUGGCGGCAGGCCUAACACAUGCAAGUCGAACGAGUGGCGGACGGGUGAGUAAUGUCUGGGAAACUGCCUGAUGGAGGGGGAUAACUACUGGAAACGGUAGCUAAUACCGCAUACCAUCAGAUGUGCCCAGAUGGGAUUAGCUAGUUGGUGGGGUAACGGCUCACCAAGGCGACGAUCCCUAGCUGGUCUGAGAGGAUGAACAGCCACACUGCAACUGAGAUACGGUCCAGACUCCUACGAGAGGCAGCGGUGGGGAGUAUUGCACAAGGGGCGGAAGCCUGAUGCAGCCAAGCCGCGUGUAUGAAGAAGGCCUGCGGGUUGUAAAGUACUUUCAGCGGGGAGGCGUUACCCGAAGAAGAAGCACCGGCUAACUCCGUGCCAGCAGCCGCGGUAAUUC
This 406-nucleotide ribosomal RNA is filed under the name uncultured bacterium. RNAcentral's name for it is "partial 16S ribosomal RNA". It matches the Rfam family "Bacterial small subunit ribosomal RNA", at positions 30 to 526 of the family's 1533-position model. The record is from RNAcentral.